AAAGUGCAACUGUGUAAACCU
RNAcentral lists this microRNA (21 nucleotides) under Ciona intestinalis (vase tunicate). RNAcentral describes it as "Cin-Mir-4029_5p (mature (guide))". Lineage: Eukaryota; Metazoa; Chordata; Ascidiacea; Phlebobranchia; Cionidae. The record is from RNAcentral.